This 269-nucleotide unclassified non-coding RNA is filed under the name uncultured Acremonium. Its description in RNAcentral is "sequence contains ITS2". The stretch from base 1 to 52 matches the Rfam family "5.8S ribosomal RNA", at positions 103 to 154 of the family's 154-position model. The record is from RNAcentral. Lineage: Eukaryota; Fungi; Ascomycota.
AACGCACAUUGCGCCCGCUAGUAUUCUGGCGGGCAUGCCUGUCUUAGCGUCAUUUCAACCCUCGCCCCCGGCUUUUUGCUGGGAGCGGUGUUGGGGAUCGGCCGCCCGUCACUGGGAGGCCGGCCCCGAAAUAGAGUGGCGACCACGCCGUGUGCUCCUCUGCGUAGUAGUAAAUCACCUCGCAGGCGUACAGCGGUGCGGCCUGCCCGUAAAACCCCCAACUCUUUCUGGUUGACCUCAGAUCAGGUAGGAAUACCCGCUGAACUUAA